GAUGAAGAACGUAGUGAAAUGCGAUAAGUAGUGUGAAUUGCAGAAUUCAGUGAAUCAUCGAAUCUUUGAACGCACAUUGCGCCUCCUGGUAUUCCGGGAGGCAUGCCUGUUCGAGCGUCAUUAAAAUCACUCAAGCUUAGGUUUACCUAUUGCUUGGUCUUGGAGAUGGAAGCCAAUUCAUUGGAAUCCUCUUCGAAAUCCAAUGGCGAAGACCCUUGCUCUCCCAAGUGUAGUAAUAACUUAUGUCACUGAAGGAAGCGAGAAAUCUUCCGCCGUAACCCCCAUAUUUUCUAUGAUUGACCUCGGGUCAGGUAGGGAUACCCGCUGAACUUAAGCAUAUCAAUAAGCGGAGGA
Molecule: unclassified non-coding RNA, 354 nt
Filed under: soil metagenome
Description: partial contains 5.8S ribosomal RNA, internal transcribed spacer 2, and large subunit ribosomal RNA
Rfam family: 5.8S ribosomal RNA (bases 1-120)
Source: RNAcentral